Molecule: long non-coding RNA, 1516 nt
Filed under: Homo sapiens (human)
Lineage: Eukaryota; Metazoa; Chordata; Mammalia; Primates; Hominidae
Description: long non-coding RNA NONHSAT153140.1
Source: RNAcentral
ACCCCACAAUCCCAGUCCACCCUAUCUCAGAACAAUUUCAAAUGCAGGGGAGGAUCAGAGAUGAAGAUGUUACUCCAAAAGUAUACAUGCAAAGAUGUUCUGGAAGUGCUACUUCUUAACUUGUCUGGUCUUAUAGUCUGUGGUUGAGUUUCUGUAUUACUAGUUUCCACAAGAGUUCAGCAACAAGAUUUCAAGGACUUUUCUUUUUAACGAUCUGAAAAUGAAGAAUGACUCAUCAUACUAUAGGUGCCCUGUAUAUGCUUCAAAAUAAGUGUGUUUUUUGCUCAGUUCUUGUGCCUUCUCGGACCCUCAUGACAACAAUAGGAAUAAACCUACGUAGAAAGUCUAUCUCAGUAGUAAUGAUUGGGGCAACCGAAUGGACUCGACUGACUCAUAUUUCCCACACAUCUUUAAAUUUAUAGCUGGCCUCUGACUAUUUUAGAAAGCCUAUGAUUUGAACUUCAUCCAAGUUUUAACAGCAAUAAAAUUCCACAGGAAAUGGGUUCUUUAGAAUCCAAGAAAUGCACACUUAGGCUAUUGCCUACAAUCAAAUUAUUCUGCUGUUGGAGUUGUGUUGCUGGAGAGAAGAUGAUCCCUUCUUCCCAGAAGAGGCCAUGUUUUCCCAUAUCACAACAUGCAUAGAAUUGGCACUGGUCAACACUAAACCUUCUAUAAGCAUGAUGAGGACAACUUCUGAGCAGCAUCAUCAAGCUUGCCUCUCCUGGGCCACUACAACACCUGCCUCCCACCUUGACAAGCCCUGCGUCAGGCAGGCAUCAUCCCAAUUUGGCCUUGCAAGUUGUUACACGAACAUCCUUCAAGAGUGAUGCCUGAAACAAUCAGUUGCCUUUUUGUCUCGCAAAAAGCCUUUGCUCUCAUCUCAGCUUAGAAUGUCCAUCCAUCACAGUUAGCAGGGCUGGGCCAGCACGGACCUCCAGAAUGUGCAAUGAGCUUUGUAGGCAAUUACCACUUUCUCCAAGGGCUCUGUAGGAUGAGGGUGAAGUGAAUGUCAUUGGAACGGUAGCAUUGUGGUCUAAAAGCUGCAUUCUGCCACAGAUCAACAUGAUGAAAUGUUUAAUUUAGCCUAAAAUUAUUUAUCUGUAUCACCGGCCAUGCCUCAACCACAUACCCCUCAAUAUGUAAACAACAAUAGAUUUAUCUGUUUUAUUUCUGAGAAGAUAAGAUAACCUGAGAAUUUCUUUAUAGAAUUUGUAGAAUGGACCCUCUCCUUGAGGCUGGUGGCGGAAGGGGAGCCAGUGUGUGCAGAGAUCACGUGAGAGUCCUCCAUGGAGAAGUCUACUGCCGAAGUCCACUGAUUUUCACUGCCGUAUGAUAUUCCAUCGUGUGGCACGUGGAACAAUCAGGAUCAUAUUUCAACAUGAGAUCCCCACGUUGAUGUCUCAGUCUUGGGUAGACAUGGUAGGGCUGGUAGGAAGUGGUCUAAUGACUUCCAUUCCUCUGUUGGAACAUUUGGGUUGCUUUUGGGUGUUUUGUUAUUAAAAACACUGCUGCUGCU